This 119-nucleotide small RNA is filed under the name Salmonella enterica subsp. enterica serovar Infantis. Its description in RNAcentral is "RtT sRNA". It matches the Rfam family "RtT RNA". From Rfam's summary of the family: This family represents a bacterial cis-regulatory element known as RtT RNA. RNAcentral also lists the same sequence under 2 other names. The record is from RNAcentral. Lineage: Bacteria; Pseudomonadati; Pseudomonadota; Gammaproteobacteria; Enterobacterales; Enterobacteriaceae.
UGCAUCUGAAGCCUGACGAGGAUGAGAACCUCCGGGGGCAAGAGGUUCGACUCGAGCGCAGCGAGAGAACGUUGCGUCAGCAACGGCCCGCAGGGCGAGCCAUCCUCUAUCACCGGCAG